RNAcentral lists this unclassified non-coding RNA (632 nucleotides) under Hevea brasiliensis (rubber tree). The record is from RNAcentral. Lineage: Eukaryota; Viridiplantae; Streptophyta; Magnoliopsida; Malpighiales; Euphorbiaceae.
UAGCGUGGGCAUCCCGUUUGUUACGGCAACUCAAACCAUUAAUGUUUUAGCCUUUGUUUUUGAUGGAGUCAACUAUGGAGCAUCUGACUUUGCAUACUCUGCAUACUCGAUGGUUUUGGUGUCAAUAGUGAGCAUACUAUGCUUAAUACCACUAUCAUCUAGUCAUGGCUUCAUCGGCAUCUGGUUUGCGUUGACCAUUUUUAUGAGCUUACGUGCAUUCGCUGGCUUUUUGAGGAUAGGAACUGGAAUGGGACCUUGGAGCUUUCUCAGGGGCUGACCUCCUCCUCCAUUUGUUCAUCUCCAUAACUCCACCUGUGCUUUUUUAAUCACACGACGAGCAAAUAAAAGCGCCUGGUUGGUGGAAAGAAGGGAAGAAGGGAAUUUGUUGGGCAUGACAUUUUGGCUUUGUUACAGAAUAAAAAAGUUUUUGUAUUAGAAAACAAAUAUUUAGAUUCUUGAUUAGCAUGAUUACAACGAUAGAGCUGUAGAUCUUUCUAAUUAGUUAGCUUAAUCGUAGGAAUCUUUGUAUAUAAAUUUGUAUCAACUCUUGAUGAAAUACAAGCAUCUAUCUUUCCAGGUCCUUCAAGCUGUACAUAUUAUACUACAUAGAUUAACACACAAGUUGAUACAAG